Molecule: long non-coding RNA, 5366 nt
Organism: Cryptomeria japonica (Japanese cedar)
Lineage: Eukaryota; Viridiplantae; Streptophyta; Pinopsida; Cupressales; Cupressaceae
Exons: 8
Source: RefSeq, a predicted model, not a curated record
UUUAUAUUUCUAAUGAACUUAAUUUAUCUUACAUUUUCUGAAGUUCGAUCUAGGAUUUUCUUCCUUCUAGUCAAAUUUGAGAUCUAAGUUUUCAAAUCGAUUAUUAUUUUUCACUAAUGUAAUUAGAAUAUUACAUAUACAUAUACAUCUUCAUUUUUUCUUAAUGUUUGUGAUUCAUAAUGUGGCUUUUCUUUUGUUCACACUACAAACCCUUGUUUACACCUCCAAGGUUGAAUUUACAUAUAUGAUUUUUUCCCUCUUAUUUCAUAUUCCUAGAAUUUGGAUCCAUCUUUGAUUGCAUUUGAUUAAAUCAUACUUUGAUUAGAUAUAUUAUUUUGAAUAAUUUGAAUUUAUUUCAAGUCUAAAUCUCCAAAUUUUAUUAAGAAUAAUUUGGAUUUCAUUCUAAAUAAACUAGACUAUAUUUUACAUAUAUUAGCUCAUUUCUAAAUUAAAUGGAUUCAAAGAUUAUUUCUUGAGAUAAACUUUGACUCAAAAUAAAAGUUUUAGAUAAUAAACAAGACAUUUUCAAAUAAAUUUUUCAUAUUUUGAAUAGAUUGAAGGUACUUCAAAUAAUGUGGACAAGUUUCAAAUAAUUUGGACUUGAAGAAACAAAUUUGAAAAAUCUCAGUUAUAUUUUGGAUUUUGUUCGAAAGUAUAUGGAUUCAUUUCAAAUAUAUGAACAUAAUGAAUUAACCCAUUUUGAAUAAACUAGAUUUAGUUGUAGCACACCAAUAUUUAUGUAGAUUAAAUUGUAGUCAUUUAUGAGGUUAUAAAAUGCACCCCAUACCCACACCAUGCAAAGAGUACAACAAUAAGAGGCUUUGUAUGUAUGAGAUUGAAUCACAUAACAAAAUUCAAGAUUCCAAGGCUAGUUUCUUGUAGGUUUGUAAUAUAUUUCCACUAAUUUUACAUUAUAGAUAAAAGAGAAAGAGAGAAAUAGUGGAAAAAUAAUACUAAUCUAUGGAACGUGAUGGUCAAGAGUAAGAUUUUCUAUGUAUUGGUGUGAUAUGAUAAAACGCGAUCUAAUGUAAUCAAUAGAAGGGAAAUUGGGCUCAUUAAUGGUAACGAAAAUGUAAAUAUUCAUCCACAAAUAAUAACAUAAAUAGGUCAAAAAACUUAUUUUCAAAUUCAUAUAUUAAUAUUACAAAAGGCCACAUGCUUUGGACAAACCCAAGGUUUGAUUUUAGAUUCAAUGAACGAAGAAAUAUUAAGAAAUAUAGAUUAUGAACAAGGGUUACUACAAAACACAUGUAAUACUAAAUCUCAUAAACAUCAAGUAGGAAACUCUUAUUUAUAACAUAUAUUUCUAAUAGAACUUAGGUAAAAAUAAAAUAAGCAAUAAAUGUCCCAUGACUUGUAGGAUUGAUAUUUAGCUUUGGGUAGAUAACUAUAAAUGGAGGAAUAAUAUUAACAUCUCCACUUGAUGCAUACAAUCGCCUUCAUUAAGUCUAUAUAGUGGAGCACAAAUCUGCAUGUGUAGUUGCAUGUUACAUGCUAAACAUUGAAUAAAAUCUUAAUUACUCUGAUGAAUUUGGGAAACAUUGGUAGAAUAGAUUGUUUCAUUGGACAACUACUAUUACACAUCCCUCCUUCGCUCUUUAGUUAUUGAUUGAGUUCAUCUAAUGACCCUUGUGGCUUUAGCCUACCACUUUCAUUGUUACCAUCUAAAAACAUCAAGGGUUGAAUAAUCAUCCAACUCAUCUAUAAUCAAACAAUCCUAAUAUACUUACAUAUUUGUACUUAUCAAUAAAUAAAAAAAUUCAUGCGUCCACUAAGUAUGUUACUAUCCAAUAAUAACCUCCCAUCACAUAUUGUAUACUCACAAUAUGAUAAUUGAAACCGAGGCUUAUGUUGACUUACCAAUAUGCAACCACUCUUUAGAGCUCUUGAUUUACAACAAUCUCUCAAUCCAUAAGAACUCUUGAGGGACAUGCGAUCAACUUUCUAUUAGUGAUCAUCAUCAAAUAGGCCUCACUAUCACAAGAAAUUAAAACACUAAUAUGUUGUGAAGGCUUGAGAAUUAGAGGAUUGUGAAGUGAACAUGAAAGAUCUUUAUCAUACAUUUUCAACUUUGAUCAAGUGAUGGUAAUUAAUCAUAUCAUUAGGUAGUUCUCACUACCCAUAAAGUUCACUAAUUGUAACAACUUUUAAUAUUUCUAGAAUGUAGGAUUAGAAUCAUCAAUGAUAAUCACAACUCCAUUUUAUUAUCAUCAUCCCUACCCUAGACAAACUUAUCAAAUAUCAAAACCACUCAAACUAAGCUUAUAUAAAAAGAGCUAUAUAUAUUUAUACAUCUCAAACAAACAAUGAAGUUAUAAUAUAAAAUAUUUCAACUUAUGACUUAUGACUUGGCUCCAAUGAGAUUUUAUAUUAGUACAAAAGAAAAUAAAACCUAGUAAAAUAUAUUUGUUGUGUAACAUAUUCCUCUACAAUGAAAUUUUUAAAAUUGGAACAAUGACUGAUUGCAUGUAAUUGAUCAUUAAUUUUACAUGGCUACCUAUAGCUCUUUCUAAUCAUCCUUAGAUGACACAGGCAUUGGCUACCCAACAUGGAGGAUGCCUAUAUCCUAGGGCAUCUCCUUGUUGUAUGACACCUUGGGAUCCAUGUGCUCCUUGUGUCCAUGUCCUGUGUGUUUCUCUUGCCUUUGUCUUGUCGUGCCAUUGAUAAUAGUGUCGUCGAUUUCAAAGAGGACUCUCGUGGGUGGAUAAUGGAGAAAGAUUUUACUUUUAAUGGUUUCUUUUUAAAGCAGUGAUUCGGAAGGCUAUGUGUAAUUUUUUUUAACUUCUAUGUUUAAUUUUAUAUAUAUUAUAUUUAGAAUAUAUAAUAGGUUAUAAUUUUAGAACACACACACACACACACACACACACACACACACACACACACACACACACACACACACACACACACACACACACACACACACAUGUAUACCUAUAUAUACAUAUCUAUAUGGGUAAGUGCACCAAGAUGGUGAACAGAAAAGUGGCCACAAGCCAAAAAAAAUCCAAAUUUUUCAUAACCCGUGCGGGUUCUAAAAAUUCAAAAAUGUGCUAGGCUUGGUAACACCAAGUCUAGAGAAAAACAAUUUUAAAAACCAAAAGUUAGGAACAUUUUAUUUUUUAAUAAAAAAUUAAAAGUUUCUCAAAACCCGUGGAACAGCAGCAAGGAAAAUCCAAAAAAACAUAGAACCCGCAUAGGUUUGCAACUAUUUUGGAUUUUCCCAACAUUGAGAGCAAUUUUCAACAAUGGCACCCUGUCGAACAGGUAAGAUUUGAUUGGUUUGAUUAUUUUUGUUUGCAUUUUAAUUGAAGUAGGGUUUUUUAAUUGAUUUAAGUUUUGUUUUUAUUAAUUUGAUGUCAGAUUCUUCAAGAAAUCCCCCAAAAUGAAAUAGACAACAAAUAUCUCCUCCUGCACAAGCAACACAAGAAAACCCUGCAAACAUUGCACAAGAGCAACAAGAAAACCCUCAAAAUCCUCAAAAUGUUGCUCCUCAACAACCACCGCCACCCCAAAACCCUCCACGUCCUCCAUUAGAUCAUGUAGAUACCACACAAGAGGAUCUCAUCAAUCGCCUUACACAAAAUAGUGCCCAAAUUUCUAUAUUGGUGAAUAGGUUGAGGUCCUCUAGUCUUGAGCACCACUCAACCCUCGCCAGAACACUAGAAACAAUAGCUAAUAGUGCAAAUGAGGUAUCUAGGGAGGUUAUGAAAUGGGGUUCAUGGAGGGAUAGAUGUUGAAAAUUUUAUGUGGAUGGGUUGUCAUAUGAUCAAGUGAAGAAAAAGGGCAUAGGUAAAGCUAACAUAUGUGCUCUUUUCACCAAUCCUAUUACCAGUAACAACCUAGAGCUAAAUACGACUCAAUUUCCUAUACAUUGGUGUGUUCAUGCUAGGCUGAAAGAAGCUUUUUGGGAUAGGUGGUAUAUGGUCUUUGACCAACCACCUUAUAAUAAUUGGGAGGUGCCUCUAUAUUUUUUGAGAAAGUUGUAUUGUGAGUUUAUCCUCGGCGAGAAGCCAAAUUACUUUGACAUCCAACAAUUUCAGGGUAGAGGGAGAGGCUCUGCACAGGAUAGACAUGGGGCCCAUAGGGUGCUAGAGCCACAACAUAGGAGGCGUACAGCUCCUAAACCCAUGGUUCAUGUCAUUGUCCCUAUAUCCUUGAAGGAGUCUAUGGAAUUAUAGACUCUUCAGGCAGCUGCAUCAUUGACUGACGUCAUUGUUCAGCAUGGCACACAGUUGGUCGGAGCAGAGGAUGUACCAGCACCUGUGGCACCUCCUUCAUCAGAGACACCUUCUUCAUCAGCAGCACCUCAUGCAUCAUUUGGCACGAGCCAAUCCAUUCAGCAUAUGUGCCCCACCUGCCAAGGUGUAUGUUCCGGUGUAGACACUGACACGGACGAGGAUGGUUUGACAUCUCAUUCAUGUACAUGUUGCGGGAGUAGAUGCCAUGCUUCCACUGCAGAGGAUGUGGCCCUCACCGAUGAACUGAUCAAUAUGUUGUACCCUCUCUAUCAAACACAGGGUGCAACAGGUGGUGGGAGUACACCACAUACUUUUCAGUUGACUCCACAGUCACGAGUAGUUUCGCCACCAGAGGGUUUAUCAGUGGCUGAGAUGUCCCAACUUAAUGAUAUCACGCUUUCGGCCAUUGACUUUGGCCAAGAUAGCUAUGCGUUUACCCCACCUGCCUUGAGGACAUCUCGUCUAAGAAAGCCAUCCUCUAGCACUCUGAGGCAGAAAAAGAUAUCCUCUCGAACACCCAAAUGACAGAAGAAACAUAUGGGGUUUACGAAAUUAAUGAAUGCACCUGAUGUCGAUGAGGUUCAACAGAGGGAAGAGGUGAUAUCUUCAUAUUCACUUUGGAUUGCAUUCUUGCUUGUUCGAAAUAACUAAAUCCUUUUAUGUCUAUAUCAUAUGUUAUCAUUUUUCAUAUAGGAAAUGGUAAUAGCUGCAUCAGAUUUGACUAGGCCUCCUAAGGCUACAGGAGAACUAUACGAGGCUUCGGCCCCUUCCAAACUUCCUAAUGUUAUUCUACCAUUCCAUUUCAGUAUAAGUCCUACACGUAUAUUAUGGGAUCCAACAUGACCAAGGGAAAAGUUACAACCUCCUUCAAGACAUCCCACGGAUCCUCAGCCUCACCCAAUUGUAGAAGAUAGAGAUGAGCCACCUACAAAGCCACGUACUGCUUCGAAGAGGCUCAAUUUUUAUGAUCCACCACAGUCAUAGAUACCAAUAGAGACAUAUAGUUAUAGUUGUGGUCAUUGAAGGACCAAUUUUUUUAUAUAUUCGACAUUUGUAUAUGUAUAUAUCGACUUUGACAGACAUGGCACAUGCCACAUUUUUGUAACUAUUAUUGAUUUGGCAGCUAUG